GUUAAUGAGGCGAACCGGGGGAACUGAAACAUCUAAGUACCCCGAGGAAAAGAAAUCAACCGAGAUUCCCCCAGUAGCGGCGAGCGAACGGGGAGGAGCCCAGAGUCUGAAUCAGUGUGUGUGUUAGUGGAAGCGUCUGGAAAGGCGCGCGAUACAGGGUGACAGCCCCGUACACAAAAAUGCACAUACUGUGAGCUCGAUGAGUAGGGCGGGACACGUGGUAUCCUGUCUGAAUAUGGGGGGACCAUCCUCCAAGGCUAAAUACUCCUGACUGACCGAUAGUGAACCAGUACCGUGAGGGAAAGGCGAAAAGAACCCCGGCGAGGGGAGUGAAAAAGAACCUGAAACCGUGUACGUACAAGCAGUGGGAGCCUCUUUUAUGGGGUGACUGCGUACCUUUUGUAUAAUGGGUCAGCGACUUAUAUUCUGUAGCAAGGUUAACCGAAUAGGGGAGCCGAAGGGAAACCGAGUCUUAACUGGGCGUUAAGUUGCAGGGUAUAGACCCGAAACCCGGUGAUCUAGCCAUGGGCAGGUUGAAGGUUGGGUAACACUAACUGGAGGACCGAACCGACUAAUGUUGAAAAAUUAGCGGAUGACUUGUGGCUGGGGGUGAAAGGCCAAUCAAACCGGGAGAUAGCUGGUUCUCCCCGAAAGCUAUUUAGGUAGCGCCUCGUGAAUUCAUCUCCGGGGGUAGAGCACUGUUUCGGCAAGGGGGUCAUCCCGACUUACCAACCCGAUGCAAACUGCGAAUACCGGAGAAUGUUAUCACGGGAGACACACGGCGGGUGCUAACGUCCGUCGUGAAGAGGGAAACAACCCAGACCGCCAGCUAAGGUCCCAAAGUCAUGGUUAAGUGGGAAACGAUGUGGGAAGGCCCAGACAGCCAGGAUGUUGGCUUAGAAGCAGCCAUCAUUUAAAGAAAGCGUAAUAGCUCACUGGUCGAGUCGGCCUGCGCGGAAGAUGUAACGGGGCUAAACCAUGCACCGAAGCUGCGGCAGCGACGCUUAUGCGUUGUUGGGUAGGGGAGCGUUCUGUAAGCCUGUGAAGGUGUGCUGUGAGGCAUGCUGGAGGUAUCAGAAGUGCGAAUGCUGACAUAAGUAACGAUAAAGCGGGUGAAAAGCCCGCUCGCCGGAAGACCAAGGGUUCCUGUCCAACGUUAAUCGGGGCAGGGUGAGUCGACCCCUAAGGCGAGGCCGAAAGGCGUAGUCGAUGGGAAACAGGUUAAUAUUCCUGUACUUGGUGUUACUGCGAAGGGGGGACGGAGAAGGCUAUGUUGGCCGGGCGACGGUUGUCCCGGUUUAAGCGUGUAGGCUGGUUUUCCAGGCAAAUCCGGAAAAUCAAGGCUGAGGCGUGAUGACGAGGCACUACGGUGCUGAAGCAACAAAUGCCCUGCUUCCAGGAAAAGCCUCUAAGCAUCAGGUAACAUCAAAUCGUACCCCAAACCGACACAGGUGGUCAGGUAGAGAAUACCAAGGCGCUUGAGAGAACUCGGGUGAAGGAACUAGGCAAAAUGGUGCCGUAACUUCGGGAGAAGGCACGCUGAUAUGUAGGUGAAGUCCCUUGCGGAUGGAGCUGAAAUCAGUCGAAGAUACCAGCUGGCUGCAACUGUUUAUUAAAAACACAGCACUGUGCAAACACGAAAGUGGACGUAUACGGUGUGACGCCUGCCCGGUGCCGGAAGGUUAAUUGAUGGGGUCAGCGCAAGCGAAGCUCUUGAUCGAAGCCCCGGUAAACGGCGGCCGUAACUAUAACGGUCCUAAGGUAGCGAAAUUCCUUGUCGGGUAAGUUCCGACCUGCACGAAUGGCGUAAUGAUGGCCAGGCUGUCUCCACCCGAGACUCAGUGAAAUUGAACUCGCUGUGAAGAUGCAGUGUACCCGCGGCAAGACGGAAAGACCCCGUGAACCUUUACUAUAGCUUGACACUGAACAUUGAGCCUUGAUG
RNAcentral lists this ribosomal RNA (1942 nucleotides) under Escherichia coli. Its description in RNAcentral is "partial 23S ribosomal RNA". It matches the Rfam family "Bacterial large subunit ribosomal RNA", at positions 170 to 2136 of the family's 2925-position model. Lineage: Bacteria; Pseudomonadati; Pseudomonadota; Gammaproteobacteria; Enterobacterales; Enterobacteriaceae. The record is from RNAcentral.